RNAcentral lists this ribosomal RNA (426 nucleotides) under uncultured Comamonadaceae bacterium. Its description in RNAcentral is "bacterial SSU rRNA". It matches the Rfam family "Bacterial small subunit ribosomal RNA", at positions 356 to 774 of the family's 1533-position model. The record is from RNAcentral. Lineage: Bacteria; Pseudomonadati; Pseudomonadota; Betaproteobacteria; Burkholderiales; Comamonadaceae.
GGGGAAUUUUGGACAAUGGGCGAAAGCCUGAUCCAGCCAUGCCGCGUGCAGGAUGAAGGCCUCGGGGUGGAAACUGGUUUUUGUACGGACGGAAAUGAUCCUUCCAAUAAAAAAGGGCCCUUGCGGUACCGGUAAAAAAAGGACCCGGCAACAACGUGGCCAGCAGCCGCGGUAAUACGUAGGGUGCAAGCGUUAAUCGGAAUUACUGGGCGUAAAGCGUGCGCAGGCGGUUAUGUAAGACAGAUGUGAAAUCCCCGGGCUCAACCUGGGAACUGCAUUUGUGACUGCAUAGCUAGAGUACGGUAGAGGGGGAUGGAAUUCCGCGUGUAGCAGUGAAAUGCGUAGAUAUGCGGAGGAACACCGAUGGCGAAGGCAAUCCCCUGGACCUGUACUGACGCUCAUGCACGAAAGCGUGGGGAGCAAACA